Molecule: ribosomal RNA, 464 nt
Filed under: Vreelandella stevensii
Lineage: Bacteria; Pseudomonadati; Pseudomonadota; Gammaproteobacteria; Oceanospirillales; Halomonadaceae
Description: partial 16S ribosomal RNA
Rfam family: Bacterial small subunit ribosomal RNA
Source: RNAcentral
CCUCGGGUAUCAGCAGUGGGGAAUAUUGGACAAUGGGCGAAAGCCUGAUCCAGCCAUGCCGCGUGUGUGAAGAAGGCCUUCGGGUUGUAAAGCACUUUCAGUGGGGAAGAAAGCCUUGGGGCUAAUACCCUCGAGGAAGGACAUCACCCACAGAAGAAGCACCGGCUAACUCCGUGCCAGCAGCCGCGGUAAUACGGAGGGUGCGAGCGUUAAUCGGAAUUACUGGGCGUAAAGCGCGCGUAGGCGGUCUGAUAAGCCGGUUGUGAAAGCCCCGGGCUCAACCUGGGAACGGCAUCCGGAACUGUCAGGCUAGAGUGCAGGAGAGGAAGGUAGAAUUCCCGGUGUAGCGGUGAAAUGCGUAGAGAUCGGGAGGAAUACCAGUGGCGAAGGCGGCCUUCUGGACUGACACUGACGCUGAGGUGCGAAAGCGUGGGUAGCAAACAGGAUUAGAUACCCCAGUAGUC